Molecule: ribosomal RNA, 753 nt
Filed under: uncultured bacterium
Lineage: Bacteria
Description: bacterial SSU rRNA
Rfam family: Bacterial small subunit ribosomal RNA
Source: RNAcentral
UUCUUUAUCACCGAGUGCUUGCACUCACCGAUAAAGAGUUGAGUGGCGAACGGGUGAGUAACACGUGGGCAACCUGCCCAAAAGAGGGGGAUAACACUUGGAAACAGGUGCUAAUACCGCAUAACCAUAGUUACCGCAUGGUAACUAUGUAAAAGGUGGCUAUACUACCGCUUUUGGAUGGGCCCGCGGCGCAUUAGCUAGUUGGUAGGGUAAAGGCUUACCAAGGCAAUGAUGCGUAGCCGAAUUGAGAGGUUGAUCGGCCACAUUGGGACUGAGACACGGCCCAAACUCCUACGGGAGGCAGCAGUAGGGAAUCUUCCACAAUGGGCGAAAGCCUGAUGGAGCAACGCCGCGUGGGUGAAGAAGGUCUUCGGAUCGUAAAACCCUGUUGUUAGAGAAGAAAGUGCGUGAGAGUAACUGUUCACGUUUCGACGGUAUCUAACCAGAAAGCCACGGCUAACUACGUGCCAGCAGCCGCGGUAAUACGUAGGUGGCAAGCGUUAUCCGGAUUUAUUGGGCGUAAAGGGAACGCAGGCGGUCUUUUAAGUCUGAUGUGAAAGCCUUCGGCUUAACCGGAGUAGUGCAUUGGAAACUGGGAGACUUGAGUGCAGAAGAGGAGAGUGGAACUCCAUGUGUAGCGGUGAAAUGCGUAGAUAUAUGGAAGAACACCAGUGGCGAAAGCGGCUCUCUGGUCUGUAACUGACGCUGAGGUUCGAAAGCGUGGGUAGCAAACAGGAUUAGAUACCCUGGUAG